Molecule: ribosomal RNA, 254 nt
Filed under: uncultured archaeon
Lineage: Archaea
Description: partial 16S ribosomal RNA
Rfam family: Archaeal small subunit ribosomal RNA
Source: RNAcentral
AUUAGACUACCCUGUAGUCCUAGCCGUAAACGAUACUCGCUAGGUGUCGGCCACGGUGCGACCGUUGUCGGUGCCGUAGGGAAGCCGUGAAGCGAGCCACCUGGGAAGUACGGCCGCAAGGCUGAAACUUAAAGGAAUUGGCGGGGAGCACCACAACGGGUGGAGCUUGCGGUUUAAUUGGAUUCAACGCCGGAAAUCUUACCGGGACCGACAGCAACAUGAAGGCCAGGCUGAAGACUUUGCCGGAUUAGCUG